GACUAUAACCAUAUCAUCCUGAAUAUGCCCGAUCUCAUCUGAUUUUGGAAACUAAGCGGGGUCAAGCCUGGUUAGUACUACACGGCCUGGCUAUCUCAGUUG
This 102-nucleotide ribosomal RNA is filed under the name Chelonoidis abingdonii (Abingdon island giant tortoise). Lineage: Eukaryota; Metazoa; Chordata; Testudines; Testudinidae. The record is from RNAcentral.